GUGACCUCAAAUCAGGUAGGACUACCCGCUGAACUUAAGCAUAUCAAUAAGCGGAGGAAAAGAAACUAACAAGGAUUCCCCUAGUAACUGCGAGUGAAGCGGGAAAGCUCAA
RNAcentral lists this ribosomal RNA (112 nucleotides) under uncultured Dermocybe. Its description in RNAcentral is "partial 28S ribosomal RNA". It matches the Rfam family "Eukaryotic large subunit ribosomal RNA", at positions 1 to 112 of the family's 3401-position model. Lineage: Eukaryota; Fungi; Basidiomycota; Agaricomycetes; Agaricales; Cortinariaceae. The record is from RNAcentral.